AAUAAAAACUGACAAUGCUACAGCAUGUCUCCACAAAAUUGGAACAGUUUUUCAAAUAUAACAUAAAGCAUGUCAUGGGUAUACCACACAAUCCUACAGGACAAGCAGUGGUUGAGAGAUCUAAUAGGACACUAAAUUAGACGCUCCAUAAACAGGUUUGGAAAACAAAACCCCCCAAAAUUAGGUUGCAUAAUGCUUUAUUAAUACUAUUUUCUUAAUGCCAAUGAAAAAUGACAAACAGCUGCGGAAAGACACUGGUCUAAGGGGAAAAAACUGCUGAACUGAAUCAGUCGGUAUACUUCUAAGAUGUACUAACUUCUGUAUGGAAACCAGGACAUGUGUUACGAUGAGGUAGGGGGUUUGCAUUUGUUUCCACAGGAGAAGAAAAACUUUGGAUACCAUCAAAGUUGAUCAAGAUUUGAGUUGAAAAGGAAAAACUUCUCGACAAGGAGAAAUAACAGACCCACACAGCCAAUGAAGACCCGCCUGACACGAAUCCCUGGACACCCUGGAAAGAAAAUGGGCCACACCUUCUCAAAUGCACUGGAUCCAACUUGCUCCAUUUCAACUGACACUCUGGACAGAGUUUCACUUACUGACUUCAAUCAAGUUGAGGAUUUCAAGGGAGAUCUUUAAUCAAGAGAAUCCCAUCCAACAUGGACUGGAUACAAUCCAUUCAAGACGUUCACUAUACUAACAUUUUCUUCCUAAGGACGCCAAGAGGUUAUCACCAUCCCAUUUCAGCAGGAAGUAACUUGGAG
This 761-nucleotide long non-coding RNA is filed under the name Cricetulus griseus (Chinese hamster). RNAcentral describes it as "lncRNA (ENSCGRG00015038968.1)". Lineage: Eukaryota; Metazoa; Chordata; Mammalia; Rodentia; Cricetidae. The record is from RNAcentral.